GCGCUCGUAGCUCAGCUGGAUAGAGUACCUGGCUACGAACCAGGCGGUCAGAGGUUCGAAUCCUCUCGAGCGUGCCA
Molecule: transfer RNA, 77 nt
Filed under: Vibrio cholerae
Lineage: Bacteria; Pseudomonadati; Pseudomonadota; Gammaproteobacteria; Vibrionales; Vibrionaceae
Also listed under: 1 other name
Description: tRNA-Arg
Rfam family: tRNA
About the family: Transfer RNA (tRNA) molecules are approximately 80 nucleotides in length. Their secondary structure includes four short double-helical elements and three loops (D, anti-codon, and T loops).
Source: RNAcentral